UCGCCUACGGGGCGCAGCAGUGGGGAAUAUUGGGCAAUGGGCGCAAGCCUGACCCAGCAACGCCGCGUGAAGGAAGAAGGCUUUCGGGUUGUAAACUUCUUUUCUUGGGGACGAAGAAAGUGACGGUACCCAAGGAAUAAGCCACGGCUAACUACGUGCCAGCAGCCGCGGUAAUACGGAGGAUGCGAGCGUUAUCCGGAUUUAUUGGGUUUAAAGGGUGCGCAGGCGGACCAUCAAGUCAGCGGUAAAAUCGUGGGGCCCAACCCCAUCCCGCCGUUGAAACUGGCGGGCUUGAGGGAGCGAGA
Molecule: ribosomal RNA, 305 nt
Filed under: uncultured bacterium
Lineage: Bacteria
Description: bacterial SSU rRNA
Rfam family: Bacterial small subunit ribosomal RNA
Source: RNAcentral